GAUGAACGCUGGCGGCGUGCCUAAUACAUGCAAGUCGAGCGAACGGACGAGAAGCUUGCUUCUCUGAUGUUAGCGGCGGACGGGUGAGUAACACGUGUAUAACCUACCUAUAAGACUGGGAUAACUUCGGGAAACCGGAGCUAAUACCGGAUAAUAUUUUGAACCGCAUGGUUCAAUAGAGAAAGACGGUCUUUCUGUCACUUAUAGAUGGAUCCGCGCUGCAUUAGCUAGUUGGUACGGUAACGGCUUACCAAGGCAACGAUGCAUAGCCGACCUGAGAGGGGGAUCGGCCACACUGGAACUGAGACACGGUCCAGACUCCUACGGGAGGCAGCAGUAGGGAAUCUUCCGCAAUGGGCGAAAGCCUGACGGGGCAACGCCGCGUGAGUGAUGAAGGUCUUCGGAUCGUAAAACUCUGUUAUUAGGGAAGAACAUAUGUGUAAGUAACUGUGCACAUCUUGACGGUACCUAAUCAGAAAGCCACGGCUAACUACGUG
Molecule: ribosomal RNA, 497 nt
Filed under: uncultured bacterium
Lineage: Bacteria
Description: partial 16S ribosomal RNA
Rfam family: Bacterial small subunit ribosomal RNA
Source: RNAcentral